Molecule: non-coding RNA, 593 nt
Organism: Taeniopygia guttata (zebra finch)
Lineage: Eukaryota; Metazoa; Chordata; Aves; Passeriformes; Estrildidae
Source: the annotation of a RefSeq genome assembly
GAGCCAGAGGAGCAGAGUACAAGCACCUCAUGACUGCCUGCAGGUGUCAUUGCCCACCGUUCCUGGACAGCCAACAGCCUUGUGACAUUUCAGACUCCCGCUCACUCCCCUGCCCACCCACAGAGAGACGGAUCUCGUCCUCUCCACCUCUCCUCUUUACACAUCUCUGUGUCUGUGCUGUCAUCAGGGGAAGGUGGCUGGCAGGAGGGGAAUUUCUCUAUGGAUUUCCAGUGGUUCCUUGUGGCCAUGCUGCUCCCUGUGGGCUGGGCCCUUCAGCAAUCACCAGAUACAAUCGUCCGGUUGGGAGACACCGUGACUCUGGAAUGCUCUGCAUCAGGGAAAGAUUUCGUAAACAUGUACUGGUACAAGCUACCCGUGGAGAAGGAUGCCAGUAUGCAGUUGGUUGUAUAUUCCGUGGAAGGUGGCAAAGCAGAUAUUGAGAAGGAAUUCAAAAAUCGCUUCCAGAGCAGUGGGACUAGGAACAACCAUUUAUCUGUGAAGAUACAGCCUGCCCUCCUCAAUGACACAGGCACAUAUUUCUGUGCUGAAAGUAAUCCACAGUGACUCAAAGGCAGGUGCAGCAUAGCACAAAG